GACGAACGCUGGCGGCGUGCUUAACACAUGCAAGUCGAACGGAAAGGCCCUGCUGUUGUGGGGUGCUCGAGUGGCGAACGGGUGAGUAACACGUGAGUAACCUGCCCUUGACUUUGGGAUAACUUCAGGAAACUGGGGCUAAUACCGGAUAGGAGCUCCUGCUGCAUGGUGGGGGUUGGAAAGUUUCGGCGGUUGGGGAUGGACUCGCGGCUUAUCAGGUUGUGGGUGGGGUAGUGGCUUACCAAGGCUUUGACGGGUAGCCGGCCUGAGAGGUUGAACGGCCACAUUGGGACUGAGGUACGGACCAGACUCCUACGGGAGGCAGCAGGGGGGAACAUUGCACAAUGGGCGGAAGCCUGAUGCAGAAACGCCGCGUGUGUGAUGACGGCCUUUGGGGUGUAAACCGCUUUCGCCUGUGACGAAGCGUGAGUGACGGUAAUGGGUAAAGAAGCACCGGCUAACUACGUG
Molecule: ribosomal RNA, 468 nt
Filed under: uncultured bacterium
Lineage: Bacteria
Description: partial 16S ribosomal RNA
Rfam family: Bacterial small subunit ribosomal RNA
Source: RNAcentral